GCGAAGGUGGCGAAAUGGGUAGACGCGCUAGUUUCAGGAAUUAGUGUCGAAAAUAAUAAAGACUGUGAGGGUUCGAAUCCCUCUCUUCGCA
This 91-nucleotide transfer RNA is filed under the name Blochmannia endosymbiont of Colobopsis nipponica. RNAcentral describes it as "tRNA-Leu". It matches the Rfam family "tRNA". From Rfam's summary of the family: Transfer RNA (tRNA) molecules are approximately 80 nucleotides in length. Their secondary structure includes four short double-helical elements and three loops (D, anti-codon, and T loops). Lineage: Bacteria; Pseudomonadati; Pseudomonadota; Gammaproteobacteria; Enterobacterales; Enterobacteriaceae. The record is from RNAcentral.